GAUGAACGCUGGCGGCGUGCCUAAUACAUGCAAGUCGAGCGAACGGACGAGAAGCUUGCUUCUCUGAUGUUAGCGGCGGACGGGUGAGUAACACGUGGAUAACCUACCUAUAAGACUGGGAUAACUUCGGGAAACCGGAGCUAAUACCGGAUAAUAUUUUGAACCGCAUGGUUCAAAAGUGAAAGACGGUCUUGCUGUCACUUAUAGAUGGAUCCGCGCUGCAUUAGCUAGUUGGUAAGGUAACGGCUUAUCAAGGCAACGAUGCAUAGCCGACCUGAGAGGGUGAUCGGCCACACUGGAACUGAGACACGGUCCAGACUCCUACGGGAGGCAGCAGUAGGGAAUCUUCCGCAAUGGGCGAAAGCCUGACGGAGCAACGCCGCGUGAGUGAUGAAGGUCUUCGGAUCGUAAAACUCUGUUAUUAGGGAAGAACAUAUGUGUAAGUAACUGUGCACAUCUUGAUGGUACCUAAUCAGAAAGCCACGGCUAACUACGUG
RNAcentral lists this ribosomal RNA (497 nucleotides) under uncultured bacterium. Its description in RNAcentral is "partial 16S ribosomal RNA". It matches the Rfam family "Bacterial small subunit ribosomal RNA", at positions 28 to 507 of the family's 1533-position model. The record is from RNAcentral.